AGUGAACGCUGGCGGCAGGCCUAAUACAUGCAAGUCGAACGGCAGCACAGUGGAGCUUGCUCCAUGGGUGGCGAGUGGCGGACGGGUGAGGAAUACAUGGGAAUCUGCCCAGUCGUGGGGGAUAACGUAUGGAAACGUACGCUAAUACCGCAUGCGCCCUUCGGGGGAAAGUCGGGGACCGCAAGGCCUGACGCGAUUGGAUGAGCCCAUGUUCGAUUAGCUAGUUGGCGGGGUAACGGCCCACCAAGGCGACGAUCGAUAGCUGGUCUGAGAGGAUGAUCAGCCACACUGGAACUGAGACACGGUCCAGACUCCUACGGGAGGCAGCAGUGGGGGAAUUUUGGACAAUGGGCGCAAGCCUGAUCCAGCCAUGCCGCGUGAGCGAUGAAGGCCUUAGGGUUGUAAAGCUCUUUCAGUGGGGAAGAUAAUGACUGUACCCACAGAAGAAGCCCCGGCUAACUCCGUCG
This 467-nucleotide ribosomal RNA is filed under the name uncultured bacterium. RNAcentral describes it as "bacterial SSU rRNA". It matches the Rfam family "Bacterial small subunit ribosomal RNA", at positions 29 to 508 of the family's 1533-position model. The record is from RNAcentral.